Molecule: long non-coding RNA, 1301 nt
Filed under: Salmo salar (Atlantic salmon)
Lineage: Eukaryota; Metazoa; Chordata; Actinopteri; Salmoniformes; Salmonidae
Description: lncRNA (ENSSSAG00000105387.1)
Source: RNAcentral
GGAAGGACUAGGCUACUUUUAGAUUUACACUUUAUCCCUCCAUAGUAUUUCCUCCAUAGUAUUUGCUUUACAUGCGUGGUUUAAUAGUUUAAAAUAUUUUCCUUUUCAAUCAUGAACAUAAUUAUAAAGACAUCGUAUGGACGGGAGAGAUUCUCUGAUUAUUUAUUUGAAUGGUGGUGGACAGGUCGCGGUUAUCCGGACAGGAGCCUAUUACGCCCUGUCUUAAAUCGCUGGAUAACAAAGUUGUCCUUCCUCUGUGUGACUGUGAGUGAGUUGGCUCAGCCCCUCCCUCAGCCCUUCCUCACACAUCUUUGGUUGAUACUGCGUGUCUGAUUGACAGGAACAACCAGAUUCGGCUCUUCUGAUAUGCGAACAAGCUCCCAACGUUCACCUACAAGAGCCGGCUCUUAGAGCCAACUCGUUCGCGAACGACCCAUCACUACUGAGGAAAGAAAGAAAGAAAGGGAGAGAGAUGCUUUUGUGAAGCGGGAAAACAUUUUAUGUACUAAAAAUCGUUUUUCCCCGAAUUGGGUUGAACUGCACUGUUGUUCUGCCCCUGAACAAGGCACUGUUCUUAGGCCGUCAUUGUAAAUAAGAAUUUGUUCUUAACUGACUUGCCUAGUUAAAUAAAGGUUAAAAAUAAGUUUGGACUUGGACAUUACAUGGAAGGUAAUGACUGGAGAACCUAAAGCGAGAACAGGAGAAGAAAAAUAAACUGAGUCCACUGAAGAAACAAAUAAAACUGAAGAAGCAACAGAAGCAACUGAAGCUGAGGAAACAUAUAGAACAAAUGAGGAUGAAACAAAUGAGGUUAAGAAAUAAGAAAUCUGAUUCAGUUGAAGACAACUCAGAAGAAAUGAAGGAAGCAGAAGCAGAGAUAAGAUGAUCUCUAAGAACUAAGAAAGCUCCUACACUGCUGACCUAUGACACACCUGGAGUUCCUAGUGUGGUGUCUGUUCCUAUAGUGAGAUAUAUCACUUCUAUAUACAAGUGGAUUGGGUAGUAUUAUGUGUGUGAAUGUAUAUUUUGUAAACAUUUAAUCAGAUUGGUUUUAUUUUUUAUAAAUUACGUUUUACUACAGCCUUCGCUGUUGGCCUAUGUUGGUUAAAUUAUUAUGUACUGUUACUUGAAAUAUGUUGGGACAGUUUUUGUUCACCUGAAGGGUGUGUGAUCAUUUGGGCCAAUCAAGAUGGACUAUGGGUGGUGUGCAGAUGGUUUUGCAGGUUUUCCAUUGUUGCCGAGGAGAGAAACAAAAGGGAGAGAGAUGCUCUUGUGAAGCGGGAUAACAUUUUAUGUACGAA